RNAcentral lists this long non-coding RNA (331 nucleotides) under Solanum tuberosum (potato). RNAcentral's name for it is "long non-coding RNA (STUB_LNC003501)". The record is from RNAcentral. Lineage: Eukaryota; Viridiplantae; Streptophyta; Magnoliopsida; Solanales; Solanaceae.
UUAGUACUUAAUUGUGCUAAUUCCAUAUUUCUCUAUUUUCUACUAGUGUAGGUUCCGGAAAGUGAGCGGGUUCUAUAGUAAGCUUGGAACUUGAAGUUCUUCCAAGAUCUUGUGGUAUGUCCUCAUAUGUCGAGGACAAGACUUUUCUAUUCUAAUUUUAUGAUAAGGUUCUUGUAAUAGACUUGAUAGACUUUUUUUGAUUAUAAAGGGCCGUGUCCCUACUUAUGUUUUGUGAUUGUGUCUAAGAUGGCCAUGUGAGACUUAGACUUCCGCUGUGUGUUUUUAAAGUUGUUUUAAUGAAGCUUGAAUGUUUGGAUGUAAAUAAGUUUUU